RNAcentral lists this ribosomal RNA (398 nucleotides) under uncultured bacterium. Its description in RNAcentral is "partial 16S ribosomal RNA". It matches the Rfam family "Bacterial small subunit ribosomal RNA", at positions 355 to 763 of the family's 1533-position model. The record is from RNAcentral.
UGGGGAAUAUUGCACAAUGGGCGAAAGCCUGAUGCAGCAACGCCGCGUGAGGGACGACGGCCUUCGGGUUGUAAACCUCUUUUAGCAAGGAAGAAGCGAAACGUGACGGUACUUGCAGAAAAACGCGCCGGCUAACUACGUGCCAGCAGCCGCGGUAAUACGUAGGGCGCAAGCGUUAUCCGGAAUUAUUGGGCGUAAAGAGCUCGUAGGCGGUUUGUCGCGUCUGCUGUGAAAACCCGAGGCUCAACCUCGGGCCUGCAGUGGGUACGGGCAGACUAGAGUGCGGUAGGGGAGAUUGGAACUCCUGGUGUAGCGGUGGAAUGCGCAGAUAUCAGGAAGAACACCGAUGGCGAAGGCAGAUCUCUGGGCCGUAACUGACGCUGAGGAGCGAAACGGGU